GAGAUUUUCCGGUUGAUCCCGCCGGACCCGACUGCUAUCGGAUAGAGAUUAAGCCAUGCGAGUCGAACAUUUCUUAACUAUGUAAGAAGUGUGGCAUACGGCUCAGUAACACGUGGUCAACCUACCCUAAAGACAUGGAUAACCCCGGGAAACUGGGAUUAAUAUAUGAUAGGUCAUUUUUCCUGGAAUCGGUUUAUGACUUAAAGGAUUGUUAAGCAUGUUUGAUUAAUUGCUUUAGGAUGGGACUGCGACCGAUCAGGUUGUUGGUGGGGUAAUGGCCUACCAAGCCGAUUACCGGUGCGGGCUUUGAGAGAAGGAGCCCGGAGAUGGACACUGAGAAAAGGGUCCAGGCCCUACGGGGCGCAGCAGGCGCGAAAACUUUGCAAUGUGCGAAAGCACGACAAGGUUAAUCCGAGUGCAACAUGCUGAAUGUAGCUUUUGGUAAAUGUAAAUAGUUUAUUGAAUAAGGGGAGGGAAAGUCUGGUGUCAGCCGCCGCGGUAAUACCAGCUCCCCGAGUGGUCGGGACGAUUAUUGGGCCUAAAGCAUCCGUAGCCUGUUCUGUAGGUCUUAUGUUAAAAUCAAUUGCUCAACAAUUGAAUUGCAUGAGAUACCACAAAACUAGGAGGCGGGAGAGGUGGACGGUACUCCACGGGUAGGGGUAAAAUCCUCUGAACCGUGGAAGACCACCAGUGGCGAAGGCGGUCCACCAGAACGCGCUCGACGGUGAGGGAUGAAAGCUGGGGUAGCGAACCGGAUUAGAUACCCGGGUAGUCCCAGCUGUAAACGAUGCAAGCUAGGUGAUGCAUUAGCCACGUGUUAAUGCAGUGCCGCAGGGAAGCCGUUAAGCUUGCCGCCUGGGGAGUACGGUCGCAAGGCUGAAACUUAAAGGAAUUGGCGGGGGAGCACCACAAGGGGUGAAGCCUGCGGUUCAAUUGGAUUCAACGCCGGAAAUCGU
RNAcentral lists this ribosomal RNA (956 nucleotides) under uncultured archaeon. RNAcentral describes it as "bacterial SSU rRNA". It matches the Rfam family "Archaeal small subunit ribosomal RNA", at positions 1 to 928 of the family's 1478-position model. The record is from RNAcentral.